RNAcentral lists this ribosomal RNA (380 nucleotides) under uncultured rumen bacterium. RNAcentral's name for it is "bacterial SSU rRNA". It matches the Rfam family "Bacterial small subunit ribosomal RNA", at positions 1020 to 1397 of the family's 1533-position model. The record is from RNAcentral.
UUCGGGGCGCCUGUGGAGGUGCUGCAUGGUUGUCGUCAGCUCGUGCCGUGAGGUGUCGGCUUAAGUGCCCAUAACGAGCGCAACCCUUUUCAUCAGUUGCCAUCAGGUAAUGGUGGGCACUCUGGAGAUACUGCCACCGUAAGGUGUGAGGAAGGUGGGGAUGACGUCAAAUCAGCACGGCCCUUACGUCCGGGGCUACACACGUGUUACAAUGGUAGGUACAGAGAGUCAGGAUGUUGGCAAGAAUGUUCUAAUCAUAAAAGCCUUCCUCAGUUCGGAUUGGGGUCUGCAACCCGACCCCAUGAAGCUGGAUUCGCUAGUAAUCGCGCAUCAGCCAUGGCGCGGUGAAUACGUUCCCGGGCCUUGUACACGCCGCCCUA